GUUCCGGCGGCCGGACUUCCCACCGUGUCACCCGCCGCGGUAUCGGUGACCCAGCCCAGAGGAACGCCCACCGCGGAGGGAAGCUGCUCGGCCGACCCAUCGCCGACCGGGGGCUGAGCUGUCCCUCUAGGGCCGCUUGUCCCUCAUGCCCGGCUCAGGGGGCACCUGACGUGCACAGACGAGGAGCUGCCCGAGCGCCGGACGUCAUCCUGAGCCGCGUCACAGCUUAAACAACCAGGGGCUCCGUGUGACCAACUCCAGGCGUGGCCGUAGGGGGUCACCCCUAUGGACCCCACCGGGCCCAGGGGGACCCUCCGCCCUCCUCGUCACCCAAGAUGGUGCUAGCCAUCCACUUCCGUCCACGUCUGGAGGGGAAGGGACCGCGGGCUUUAGCAGCAUAGCCAGAAGUAGUACGCAUCAUUUCCUCCCGCAUCCCAUUGGCCAGCCCUUGGUCAUGUGACCACUCCUUGCUGCAAGGGAGGCUGGGAAUUGCAGUCCUUAUUCUGGAAGAGCAGAUGUCCGGCUGUGCACCGUGGGCUCUGUUGCUACAGCAGGAGGAAGACGAAUGGACUUUGGGGGCAGAGUCACUGCCCAAGGCUGGUCCAGGGCUUGUUUCCAAGCCUUGAGGCCACUUCCAUUUAUAGCUAAAUAAUUCAAGAUGAAUGAAGGGAAUAUGAGAGAGUGACUUGAGCUGGUUCAGGUGAUCACGGACCAAGUUAGGAAGGGAAACAGUUGGUUUCAGACAAGCUGGAAUUUUAGGUCCAUGAGAUCCACACCUAACCUAGUCGGAUGAUACACAUUUAAAAUUUGAAAACAAAAAGACAAGCCAGUUCCAACUAGAAGGGAGAUGGAAAUUGCUUGUCAAAACAUGUAUGCCACGGCAGCCAGGAGAGCCCACCAGGAAUGCCUGAUGACAUUUUAAGUAGCUUUUGUGCUGCUGCACUCUCUCUAACUGUCACGGCUUUUAUUAUCUGUCGCUAUGACAGCCACUUAAUGCAUUUCAUGAUGGCCAUGUGUCAACUGUCCUCCCUUGGCAAUGUCACUCCAAACACAUUGUUCUUCAAACAACCCUGCCCUUCCGUGCUCUCUGAUACCGCCUGGGGAAGCCCACCAUGGGGCAGACUGGCCACUCUGUGCAUCUAUCCCUGGAGAUGUAAUCGGCCAGACGCCCCAUCUCAACGUGCACACAGACCCAGACUCCACGAGGACAAGUGCCCUCUGGAGGGAGACUUGGAAUGCAUAGCUAGUCUGACUCGUCCUGCCGAGACAUUCAAAAAUGAGCCUUCGCCAUGUCUGCACACACAGAAGUCAGUGCUGACUACUGUGGGAGGACCAAGCUUUCUCUCUCUAUUUAUGAGCGAUUUUUCUGCACAACAGCCUCAAACUUGCCUUUCACUUCUAGGAGCAAUUGUUCACUGAGUCUCAGAUAAAGACAGAAUUGUCUCAAAGAUACAGUCUGGGGAUACAGUAACGUGUUUCCAGCACUCAGACAUCUGCUUCUUCUUUCUGAAAGAGGAUCAGCAUUUGUGCAGCCAGACACCUAAGUCUGUCCUGGAGAGGAAGCCCCUGAAAGGGCCCCAGGAGGCACAGACACACACAGAGCCCUGGGCCCACAUCUGGGGUGACGAUCAGAAGAAAGGUGAGAGGACAUCAGAGAAGCAGUGGUGACAAGCCAACUGACACGUGGACCCUGACGAGUGCUCAGUGAUCUCUAUAUGCUUCCUCAUCAGACUCUCCUUCAAGGUGAAGGUUCCUAAGCAGAGACUGUCAACCAAAUGUUGACAUGAAUGCUGUGACCAGAGGAAUCCUUUGUCUCUCCAUAGGGGAUGCUAGAGCUUGCAGUACCGUCUCCACGAAGGCAUGCCUGUAGACCCGAACCUUAUGAAGGGAAUGCAGGAGCACAUUCAGGAAGGGUCACUCCCCAGCUGAUGGCCGUGUGAGGAACCUGCUCUCCAGGGGUCAGCUGCUCUCCUGGACUGCGUGCCCUGGUGCUCCAGCCCAGCAUAGCACAGUUGCCCAUGUCCUGUUUAAAGAACUCUGGGGCUCUGCAAGGACAGCCAGGUCUCCAUCAUGUGGCCUUCUGCAGGUCAGUCAGUCAGGCAUGGGAACUGCAGAGUCCACUCCCUCCCGCUGUCCAGGCCAGGCCCUCAGGUGUCCCAAACAGGAGUGCCCACAUCCCAUCCUGGGAACCUUCCCUUCCCAGGGAGAGGCUCCAGCUUGACUGGGAGGCACCUUCAGAAAGUCCUGGGGGAUAUGGAGAAGCAGCAGCCAUCUGAUCCCAAGGCCUUGUCCAUGGAAUCCAGGGAGGCUGGAGUGGGGGAUGCUCAGCACAACCUCAGCCCAUUGCCAUCAUCUUCUUGUCCAUGCCCAAGUGAGUUUCCCAAGGUCUUAAUCAUAAUAAGUGUCAGAUCAGACCCUGGGCUCAUGCCCAGGCAGGCAGGCGUCCAUGCUGUUAGGCUCAGUGCUGUGAGGAUGCUGCCCUGACCUUGUCUGGGGGAUUGUCCCCAAGUCCCAUCACUAUCCCCUUGGAAACAAGGCCAGUGCUCCAUUUCCCCUCUAGGGUCCAUCCCCAGACCCUGGCAUUGACAGAGCCCACUGACAGGUCAACGUCUCCCCUCUUCUCUCCUUACAAGAGAAAGCCCUCACUCAUCAGUGCAUUUUACAUGUGGCUUCUUCAUCCUUGUGAGCUUUAUUUUCUAUCUUUGCCACAAAAUCCCUUCAUUUUUCAGCAAAGCUUAACUCCCUCCAUUUUUCUCUGGCUCUACACUCCUUCUCUUCUCUCCCCUUCCUCACCAAAUCCCUUAGGCAGCCUGGCUAACCCCUACUUAUCUUUCAGACUCAAUUCAGGCAUCAUCUACUGAGUGGAGCCUCUGCCCAGCUGGGUUAGAAGCCCUUUCUCUGUCACCACGUGCUUCUCCUCAUCAUUCAUUCAGUAAACAUGUACUGGGCCCUCCCUGUGCCGGGCACAGAGGAUACAAAGGUGACUGUGGUGUGGUCCUUUGUGAGGAGUUCCUUGUCAUGCACUUUGCCACAUUCAUGAGCAUCUCACAGUGGACACAUGAGCCCACCCUCAUGGCCACCAUUCAUUUAUCCAUAAAAGUGGUCACCUGACCAAGGCUGAGCCAAUCAUAGUCCUUCUCUGAGACCUUCCAAAUUGGAACUAAUAUGGCGUAUCUUUCUCCAAUGGCCGAGGCUCCAUGACAUGAGGCUCAGGGGCUGUGAACCUCCAUGUUUCCUGCCACCUGGAGAAGCUGGUCCACCGUGGGAGAGAAUAGAGUCAGUGCAGGGAGUGACGAGGACACGAUGCUGCUCCUGAAGCUCACACCCAUCUGCCUCUGGCAGUGUGUGGGCACACCUGAGUCAGGUGGGGUCCUGAUGUGACCAGAUGGCACGCCCAAUGUGGAUAACUGAAGAUAGCUUUUCUAUUUAUCCUUAGAGGUGUAGGCAGGUGCAGAGGACCCACAGCAAUGCUGAAGCACCCCAGGGACUAGCAAGAAUGAGGAGUCUUAUCCCUGGGCCCGUAUAGCUCCCAGCUUUCCCUUGGGAGUCUCAUGACACAGUGGCACCUCACUUUGUGAUCCCACCCCAUCAUGAAGCAAACUCAAUCUCUAGAUGUGAGCCAACUUCAGGCCCUAGACAUCAGUUACCUAUUUGGAUACUGGACAAACCUACCCCUUUGAACACAAGCCCAGCCUGGCCAUGUUGCUCCUAAAGCUGUAGAGCUUGGCGCCUGUGCUUGCUGGAGAAGCGCUGCUGGGGGGCUGGAAAAAGAGUGACAAAUCAAAGCAGUUUCAGGGUAAAAGCUGGGAGACAUUCCAAGAGGCCAUGAACAGGGGGCCCUGAUUCGGGGGAAGUUUACAACUCUGUCAUGGAGGGAGUAUUCAUCAUUCUCAGAUUGAGUCUCAGCCCAUCAAGGUGUCUGGAGAUCCUGGCCCGGUCCUCCCAGACUGUUCCUCUGAUAGAGUGGUUGUGUUUGCUAUGGGAAAUUCUCCGAGCCUGGACAGUCUCACACCCACUGAGCGGGGACACCAAUGCACCUGACCCGGUUCCCUCCAGCCCUGCUCUGUGUCAGGAAGGUCGCUUCUCCUGCAGAGGAAGAAACAUGGUUUAUUCAGUCCCAGCGUAUUUCAGUGGGAACUUGCAUGGGACGCUCUACCUUUUGUGUGUUAAGCAAGAUGGUUUGAGCUCAUCACAGAACCUAAAGCUGAGCUCGGCUCAGGACUGACUCCACGAGCUGCUGAACGCUGGGCGUCCCUUUGAGGACAGGUGGUCAACCUGGCAAUGCUCCUAAAGCCCCAAAUCCUGGGACAGCUCUCCCACCACGCUUUCCUCUAGACUGUGAGCUGGCCCAGGGUGGCCUCAGGGUGCCUGGUUCAGGGAUGGGCACAGGAGGAAGUGUGCCCCACAGAGCUCCAUCCUGAGUUGGUUUUGUGACUGUGAGGAGACAAGCUGCUCUUACAGGGUGAGAACGAGAGAGACAGAGACAGAGAAAUGAAUACAGAGCUUGCGGACCAGCCAAGCCUCUACUUCUCAGAUGCGG
Molecule: long non-coding RNA, 4540 nt
Filed under: Equus caballus (horse)
Lineage: Eukaryota; Metazoa; Chordata; Mammalia; Perissodactyla; Equidae
Description: lncRNA (ENSECAG00000059359.1)
Source: RNAcentral